AAAGACUUCAUGAUUCGUCACUUGACAGAAGUAAAUAUGUACCUCCUUCGGCAGUGGAACUGCAGCUGCGGGUGGAGGACUGAAGAAAGAACGGCAGCUGGGGGUGGUGCAGGGGUCCACGAAGAAGAAUUAACGGGAAUGGGUGUUAGAUUAAAUCGGAACGUGAAUGCAAGGAGACGACCUGGUUUUUCUAGAGGUCAAAGACCGAAUGAUGAUACUUCUUCUACGAGCAGAGCCAGAUCGGAUGAGGAGGAAAUGCUUGCUAUGGGACUUGGAAUUCGCGGACAAAAUUUGUAGAUCAACAUAAUGCAGAAAGAGAUUUAUCCAUUCUUUUCAAAAAGAAAAAAAAUGCCUGGAGAAGUCUGAGAACUUUUCUUGUGAAGUUCAUGU
RNAcentral lists this unclassified non-coding RNA (390 nucleotides) under Hevea brasiliensis (rubber tree). Lineage: Eukaryota; Viridiplantae; Streptophyta; Magnoliopsida; Malpighiales; Euphorbiaceae. The record is from RNAcentral.